GGGUGAGUAACGCGUAGGUAACCUGCCUUGUAGCGGGGGAUAACUAUUGGAAACGAUAGCUAAUACCGCAUAACAAUGGAUGACACAUGUCAUUUAUUUGAAAGGGGCAAUUGCUCCACUACAAGAUGGACCUGCGUUGUAUUAGCUAGUAGGUGAGGUAACGGCUCACCUAGGCGACGAUACAUAGCCGACCUGAGAGGGUGAUCGGCCACACUGGGACUGAGACACGGCCCAGACUCCUACGGGAGGCAGCAGUAGGGAAUCUUCGGCAAUGGGGGCAACCCUGACCGAGCAACGCCGCGUGAGUGAAGAAGGUUUUCGGAUCGUAAAGCUCUGUUGUAAGUCAAGAACGAGUGUGAGAGUGGAAAGUUCACACUGUGACGGUAGCUUACCAGAAAGGGACGGCUAACUACGUGCCAGCAGCCGCGGUAAUACGUAGGUCCCGAGCGUUGUCCGGAUUUAUUGGGCGUAAAGCGAGCGCAGGCGGUUUGAUAAGUCUGAAGUUAAAGGCUGUGGCUCAACCAUAGUUCGCUUUGGAAACUGUCAAACUUGAGUGCAGAAGGGGAGAGUGGAAUUCCAUGUGUAGCGGUGAAAUGCGUAGAUAUAUGGAGGAACACCGGUGGCGAAAGCGGCUCUCUGGUCUGUAACUGACGCUGAGGCUCGAAAGCGUGGGGAGCGAACAGGAUUAGAUACCCUGGUAGUCCACGCCGUAAACGAUGAGUGCUAGGUGUUGGAUCCUUUCCGGGAUUCAGUGCCGCAGCUAACGCAUUAAGCACUCCGCCUGGGGAGUACGACCGCAAGGUUGAAACUCAAAGGAAUUGACGGGGGCCCGCACAAGCGGUGGAGCAUGUGGUUUAAUUCGAAGCAACGCGAAGAACCUUACCAGGUCUUGACAUCCCGAUGCUAUUUCUAGAGAUAGAAAGUUACUUCGGUACAUCGGUGACAGGUGGUGCAUGGUUGUCGUCAGCUCGUGUCGUGAGAUGUUGGGUUAAGUCCCGCAACGAGCGCAACCCCUAUUGUUAGUUGCCAUCAUUCAGUUGGGCACUCUAGCGAGACUGCCGGUAAUAAACCGGAGGAAGGUGGGGAUGACGUCAAAUCAUCAUGCCCCUUAUGACCUGGGCUACACACGUGCUACAAUGGUUGGUACAACGAGUUGCGAGUCGGUGACGGCAAGCUAAUCUCUUAAAGCCAAUCUCAGUUCGGAUUGUAGGCUGCAACUCGCCUACAUGAAGUCGGAAUCGCUAGUAAUCGCGGAUCAGCACGCCGCGGUGAAUACGUUCCCGGGCCUUGUACACACCGCCCGUCACACCACGAGAGUUUGUAACACCCGAAGUCGGUGAGGUAACCUUUUGGAGCCAGCCGCCUAAGGUGGGAUAGAUGAUUGGGGUGAAGUCGUAAC
RNAcentral lists this ribosomal RNA (1399 nucleotides) under Streptococcus salivarius. Its description in RNAcentral is "bacterial SSU rRNA". It matches the Rfam family "Bacterial small subunit ribosomal RNA". The record is from RNAcentral. Lineage: Bacteria; Bacillati; Bacillota; Bacilli; Lactobacillales; Streptococcaceae.